GACUCUUCCGGUGGGGACGUCUUCAGCAGCACCGGGAUCGAGGAUUUGCCAUUAAUCGGGGCAGAGGACAAGAGUCAGGCUGUAAAGGUCUGCAUUCAAUACAAACGUGAUGGGAUGAGGCCCGACGGAACAGUCGACCCACAACCCCUGAUAAAAAGUCUCACUACCGCCCUUAACGACACCCGUCCUGAUAUCGUCCAGCGCCUACUCAACAGCACACAGUCUUGCUCAACUGAAAACCUUGCCGCCUGGAAGACCUGCCUCCUCUCGAGAUGCAUCUUAGGCAACGCUACCUUAGUCGUCCCGCCUGCUGCUAGCUCGCCUGAAGAAUAACAUGACACACGUCUUUGUUAAUUUGCUUUUAAUGUG
Penaeus indicus is the source of this 369-nucleotide long non-coding RNA. RefSeq lists it as uncharacterized. The record is from RefSeq and is a predicted model, not a curated record. The transcript has 3 exons. Lineage: Eukaryota; Metazoa; Arthropoda; Malacostraca; Decapoda; Penaeidae.